UUCGCGCCGCCCUCUUCCGGUGUCCGAGACAAGAAAACGUUACACCCCCCCGGCGAGGGCGCGCCGGUGAUGACGCAAUCAGAAGCGCAGCCGGAAGUAGGCGUGUAAAAACCGGAGUGAAAGUGCGGGGGGGGGGAGGGCGGAAACGGGGCCCUUUAAAAGUGGGAAAUGGGGCCCUAACGGGGGAGGAUAACGGGCCUGGGGGGGUAAAUGGGGCCUAGGGGGGGUUAAAUGGGGCCUAAUGGGGGUUAAAUAGGGGCUGAGGGGGGUUAAAUGGGGCCUAUAGGGGUAAAUGGGGGAGGGGAUUAUGGAAACAGGAAGUCAUCGAGCUGAAGUGGGCAAGUGGGACGUCAUAAGAGCGCGUUCGCGCCGGAAAGUGACGUCAUUUUGGGGGGGAGGGCGACGGCGGGGUGUGAAAACGGAAGUUCGCGGGAUACGGAGGAAGUGAACGGGCCAUAAGAGCGCGUCGCUGGCCGGACAGAUGGACGUAGUUUAUCCAGCGACGCAAAGGAGGAGGAGGCCGCCAUGUCGUUGGCGGACGAGCUGCUGGCCGACCUGGAGGAGGCGGCGGAAGAGGAAGAGGAAAGGUUUGGACCUCGGAAGGGAAGAUGGGGAACCCAUCGAGGAGGUGCGGGAUGAACCGGAAAACCGGAACCGGCCGGAGAGUCCCGUGAAGAGCAUCGCAAAGUUAUGGGACAGCAAAGCGGUACGGAACCGGGAACCGGAAAUGGAAAUAUGGAAAUGGAGGGCGGGGGCAAUUGGGGAGAGGGUCUUAAUGGGAACCGGAACCGGGAAAUGGGAAAUUGGGGGGGUCUCAAUGGGAACCGGAACCUGAAAUUGAGAAUUGGGGGGGGGGUGGGGGGGGGGGGGGGGAAUAUCUUAAUAAGAACCGGAACCGGAAAUUGGGGAGGUGGGGGUGGGGUGGGAAUGGGGUGGUGUCUUAAUUGGAACCGAGGAAACCGGAAAUGGAUUUGGGGGGGGGGGGGGGGUCUCAAUGGGACCGAACCGGAAAAUUGAGAUUGGGGGGGGGAUGGGGGGGGUCUCAAUGGGAACCGG
RNAcentral lists this long non-coding RNA (1056 nucleotides) under Coturnix japonica (Japanese quail). Its description in RNAcentral is "lncRNA (ENSCJPG00005002635.1)". Lineage: Eukaryota; Metazoa; Chordata; Aves; Galliformes; Phasianidae. The record is from RNAcentral.